This 253-nucleotide ribosomal RNA is filed under the name uncultured bacterium. Its description in RNAcentral is "partial 16S ribosomal RNA". It matches the Rfam family "Bacterial small subunit ribosomal RNA", at positions 524 to 776 of the family's 1533-position model. The record is from RNAcentral.
UACGGGGGGGGCAAGCGUUGUUCGGAAUUACUGGGCGUAAAGGGUUCGUAGGUGGCCAACUAAGUCAGACGUGAAAUCCCUCAGCUUAACUGGGGAACUGCGUCUGAUACUGGUUGGCUUGAGUGCAGGAGAGGAACGCGGAAUUCCAGGUGUAGCGGUGAAAUGCGUAGAUAUCUGGAGGAAUACCGGUGGCGAAGGCGGCAUCCUGGACCAUAACUGACGCUGAGGCGCGAAAGCUAGGGGAGCAAACGGG